GACGAACGCUGGCGGCGUGCUUAACACAUGCAAGUCGAACGGAAAGGCCUGCUUUCCCUUGUGGAUUGCGGGUACUCGAGUGGCGAACGGGUGAGUAACACGUGAGUGAUCUGCCCCCAACUUGGGUAUAAGCCUGGGAAACUGGGUCUAAUUCCCGAUAGGACUGCAGGGUGGUGCCUGUGGUGGAAAACGAUUUUCUAGUGGUUGGGGGUGAGCUCGCGGCCUAUCAGCUUGUUGGUGGGGUAAUGGCCUACCAAGGCGGCGACGGGUAGCCGGCCUGAGAGGGUGGACGGCCACAUUGGGACUGAGAUACGGCCCAGACUCCUACGAGAGGCAGCAGUGGGGAAUAUUGCACAAUGAGCGGAAGCCUGAUGCAGCGACGCCGCGUGGGGGAUGACGGCCUUCGGGUUGUAAACUCCUUUCGACCGCGAGGAAGCCACCUGGUUGGAAGGGUGGUGACGGUAGUGGUAGAAGAAGCACCGGCUAACUACGUG
RNAcentral lists this ribosomal RNA (494 nucleotides) under uncultured bacterium. Its description in RNAcentral is "partial 16S ribosomal RNA". It matches the Rfam family "Bacterial small subunit ribosomal RNA", at positions 28 to 507 of the family's 1533-position model. The record is from RNAcentral.